Small nucleolar RNA from Fundulus heteroclitus (mummichog), 137 nucleotides. The record is from Ensembl. NCBI's taxonomy places the organism in Eukaryota, Metazoa, Chordata, Actinopteri, Cyprinodontiformes, Fundulidae.
GGCACUGUGUGGUAUCUGCAGCCGCUGCUUCAUCAGCUGGCCUGUUCAUAAGUCAGUGCUAAAGAAACUCAGCUUCUGGCAUCGUUGGUCUCCGUGCUACCUGUGUGUGGAGUCCUGGUAUUUUAGCUGAAACAUUC